This 394-nucleotide RNase P RNA is filed under the name Deltaproteobacteria bacterium RBG_16_64_85. RNAcentral describes it as "RNase P RNA component class A". It matches the Rfam family "Bacterial RNase P class A". Rfam says of the family: Ribonuclease P (RNase P) is a ubiquitous endoribonuclease, found in archaea, bacteria and eukarya as well as chloroplasts and mitochondria. Its best characterised activity is the generation of mature 5'-ends of tRNAs by cleaving the 5'-leader elements of precursor-tRNAs. Cellular RNase Ps are ribonucleoproteins. Lineage: Bacteria; Deltaproteobacteria. The record is from RNAcentral.
UGAGGAGGCCAGGCGGCCGCCGGCCCUUUCAAGGGGCGGGAGGAAAGUCCGGGCUCCGCAGGGCAGGGUGCCGGGUAAUCCCCGGUGGGGGCGACCCCGAGGACAGUGCCACAGAAAACAUACCGCCUCCCGCGUUCCUCGGGAGGUAAGGGUGAAAAGGUGAGGUAAGAGCUCACCGCGGGCCGGGCAACCGGCACGGCACGGCAAACCCCACCCGGAGCAAGACCGAAUAGGAGGGCGACUCCGCAGGAAACCGCGGGGGAAGGGUGGCCCGCCCGGGGCCCUCGGGUACAGGUCGCUCAAGGCGCGCGGCAACGCGCGUCGUAGAGAAAUGGCCGUCCCGCGGCGGAUUCACCCGCCGCGCACAGAACCCGGCUUACGGCCUCCUCAGGCC